CCUACGGGGGGCAGCAGUGGGGAAUAUUGCGCAAUGGGGGAAACCCUGACGCAGCAACGCCGCGUGAGUGAGGAAGUAUCUCGGUAUGUAAAGCUCUAUCAGCGGGGAAGAAGAAAGACGGUACCUGACUAAGAAGCCCCGGCUAACUACGUGCCAGCAGCCGCGGUAAUACGUAGGGGGCGAGCGUUAUCCGGAUUUACUGGGUGUAAAGGGAGCGUAGACGGCGUCGCAAGUCUGAAGUGAAAGCCCGUGGCUCAACCGCGGAACCGCUUUGGAAACUGUGAGGCUGGAGUGCUGGAGAGGUAAGCGGAAUUCCUGGUGUAGCGGUGAAAUGCGUAGAUAUCAGGAGGAACACCGGUGGCGAAGGCGGCUUACUGGACAGUGACUGACGUUGAGGCUCGAAAGCGUGGGGAGCGAACAGGAUUAGAUACC
Molecule: ribosomal RNA, 432 nt
Filed under: uncultured bacterium
Lineage: Bacteria
Description: bacterial SSU rRNA
Rfam family: Bacterial small subunit ribosomal RNA
Source: RNAcentral